Molecule: ribosomal RNA, 490 nt
Filed under: uncultured bacterium
Lineage: Bacteria
Description: partial 16S ribosomal RNA
Rfam family: Bacterial small subunit ribosomal RNA
Source: RNAcentral
AUUGAACGCUGGCGGCAGGCCUAACACAUGCAAGUCGAACGGUAACAGGAAGAAGCUUGCUUCUUUGCUGACGAGUGGCGGACGGGUGAGUAAUGUCUGGGAAACUGCCUGAUGGAGGGGGAUAACUACUGGAAACGGUAGCUAAUACCGCAUAAUGUCGCAAGACCAAAGAGGGGGACCUUCGGGCCGCUUGCCAUCGGAUGUGCCCAGAUGGGAUUAGCUAGUAGGGGGGGUAACGGCUCACCUAGGCGACGAUCCCUAGCUGGUCUGAGAGGAUGACCAGCCACACUGGAACUGGGACACGGUCCAGACUCCUCCGGGAGGCAGCAGUGGGGAAUAUUGCACAGUGGGCGCAAGCCUGAUGCAGCUAUGCCGCGUGUAUGAAGAAGGCCUUCGGGUUGUAAAGUACUUUCAGCGGUGAGGAAGGGAGUAAAGUUAAUACCUUUGCUCAUUGACGUUACCCGCAGAAGAAGCACCGGCUAACUCCGUG